UCGCUCGGCCGGGAGGGGCCUGCGCCCCCGGCGCCCACAGGUGCGGCGACCCCGGCUUCCCGGGUUCCCCGAGCGCCUCCCUGGCCGCCGGCCGCCUGAGCCCCGCGAGCAGUAGGAGGGAGAGGCUGGGGCCGGGAGACGGACGGCCGAGGACCAGGGAAAGUAGUCCAAGGAUGCUGUGGCCACUGAAGCAUGGAGGAGCCUGUUGCCCACCUCAGCCUGUGGAUUCUAGAGCCUUCCUCUUCAUUGAUGCAAUAAGAGCGACGCAUAUACCUAUGUUGCCAUGGUGGAAAGUACCCUCAAAUCUCACUCUCAAUGUUCUUGUUGCCGAAAAAUGAUUUCCAAUGUCAGAUCACUGCACAGAAGUAUCCUGUGGCCAAGUGAGAGCCAUGCUGGGAAGCAAUCGCAUUUUCAUGGCAAGACAGACCUCCCAACUGCUAAGCUCCUUUAGGGUAAGAGAGGAGCAGCCCUCGCUAAGAUGGAGAGACCUUUCUGGAGACAUCUAUCCCUCGGUGCACAUGGGCCAUUUCCCAUCUCAGCUGGAAUCCAGUCUAAAGCCCAAGUAGUGUUUCCUGUUACCCUAAAGAUCCCAAUUUCAGCCAGAACUGUGACAUCAGCUCUACUUUCUGGAGUAGUUU
Kogia breviceps (pygmy sperm whale) is the source of this 638-nucleotide non-coding RNA. The record is from RefSeq and is a predicted model, not a curated record. Lineage: Eukaryota; Metazoa; Chordata; Mammalia; Artiodactyla; Physeteridae.